UGCCAGCCGCCUCGGUAAUACAGAGGUCCCAAGCGUUGUUCGGAUUCACCGGGCGUAAAGGGUGCGUAGGUGGCGUGGAAAGUUUGAUGUGAAAGCUCCGGGCUCAACCCGGAAAAUGCAUUGGAUACUAUCAUGCUAGAGGAUCGGAGGGGAGACUGGAAUUCUCGGUGUAGCAGUGAAAUGCGUAGAUAUCGAGAGGAACACCAGUGGCGAAGGCGAGUCUCUGGACGAUUCCUGACACUGAGGCACGAAGGCUAGGGGAGCAAACAGGAUUAGAUA
RNAcentral lists this ribosomal RNA (279 nucleotides) under uncultured bacterium. RNAcentral describes it as "partial 16S ribosomal RNA". It matches the Rfam family "Bacterial small subunit ribosomal RNA", at positions 506 to 784 of the family's 1533-position model. The record is from RNAcentral.